UACGAGAGGGGGCAAGCGUUAAUCGGAAUUACUGGACGUAAAGGGCGCGUAGGCGGCUGAUCAAGUCAGGUGUGAAAGCCCACGGCUUAACCGUGUGAAGUGCAUCUGAAACUGGUCGGCUUGAGUAUCGGAGAGGAAAGUGGAAUUCCCGGUGUAGAGGUGAAAUUCGUAGAUAUCGGGAGGAAUACCGGUGGCGAAGGCGACUUUCUGGACGAAUACUGACGCUGAGGCGCGAAAGCGUGGGGAGCAAACAGGAUUGAAACCCCUGUAGU
Molecule: ribosomal RNA, 272 nt
Filed under: uncultured bacterium
Lineage: Bacteria
Description: partial 16S ribosomal RNA
Rfam family: Bacterial small subunit ribosomal RNA
Source: RNAcentral